Molecule: small nucleolar RNA, 75 nt
Organism: Tupaia belangeri (northern tree shrew)
Lineage: Eukaryota; Metazoa; Chordata; Mammalia; Scandentia; Tupaiidae
Gene: SNORD28
Rfam family: Small nucleolar RNA SNORD28
About the family: U28 is a member of the C/D class of snoRNA which contain the C (UGAUGA) and D (CUGA) box motifs. U28 is encoded within the U22 snoRNA host gene (UHG) in mammals and is thought to act as a 2'-O-ribose methylation guide for ribosomal RNA.
Source: Ensembl
GCCAGGUGAGUUGACUUGAUCCUCUGGCGUUCUGUGAGGUGCAACAGCUAAAAGCACGCGAGAGUUCUGAUGGUG